Molecule: ribosomal RNA, 719 nt
Filed under: Bacillus subtilis subsp. subtilis
Lineage: Bacteria; Bacillati; Bacillota; Bacilli; Caryophanales; Bacillaceae
Description: bacterial SSU rRNA
Rfam family: Bacterial small subunit ribosomal RNA
Source: RNAcentral
GGGGUGACGUUGCUCGGAAUAUCUGGGCGUAAGGGCUCGCAGGCGGUUUCUUAAGUCUGAUGUGAAAGCCCCCGGCUCAACCGGGGAGGGUCAUUGGAAACUGGGGAACUUGAGUGCAGAAGAGGAGAGUGGAAUUCCACGUGUAGCGGUGAAAUGCGAUAGAGAUGUGGAGGAACACCAGUGGCGAAGGCGACUCUCUGGUCUGUAACUGACGCUGAGGAGCGAAAGCGUGGGGAGCGAACAGGAUUAGAUACCCUGGUAGUCCACGCCGUAAACGAUGAGUGCUAAGUGUUAGGGGGUUUCCGCCCCUUAGUGCUGCAGCUAACGCAUUAAGCACUCCGCCUGGGGAGUACGGUCGCAAGACUGAAACUCAAAGGAAUUGACGGGGGCCCGCACAAGCGGUGGAGCAUGUGGUUUAAUUCGAAGCAACGCGAAGAACCUUACCAGGUCUUGACAUCCUCUGACAAUCCUAGAGAUAGGACGUCCCCUUCGGGGGCAGAGUGACAGGUGGUGCAUGGUUGUCGUCAGCUCGUGUCGUGAGAUGUUGGGUUAAGUCCCGCAACGAGCGCAACCCUUGAUCUUAGUUGCCAGCAUUCAGUUGGGCACUCUAAGGUGACUGCCGGUGACAAACCGGAGGAAGGUGGGGAUGACGUCAAAUCAUCAUGCCCCUUAUGACCUGGGCUACACACGUGCUACAAUGGACAGAACAAAGGGCAGCG